ACUUAGUUUCGCACACUUUGGGAACCGUGGAGAACUUGGCACUUCCUCAGCACUCCCCAGUACCUAAUUGUCUGGGUGACUGUGGGACUUCACGGAGCCUGAUAAAAGAGGAUCAGGAGCCAAAAUAAUCUUCCCCAAACACAGGCAGAGAUCUGAUCUGUGCUCCCCCACUUAAAAAACCUUCAGUGAUGAAUGCUGUGUAAUCUUAAUGGAUAAGUUUGGCCUCCAAAGAAGAGAUGGAAAAACGUACCUCCUUCCCUCCUUCCCAGAGGUGGAAGACUGCAGGUUCCACUCAGCUUGGUCUUCAUGGAGAGAAAUAUGAGCCUUCUAUUGUCAUAAGGGUCCAAGGGAAGAGACUGCUGGACAUCCUGCUUCCAGGACUAUAGCGUAUUCUGGAUGCCACCUGAAAGAGGCUGACUUGUGGAU
Molecule: non-coding RNA, 426 nt
Organism: Phascolarctos cinereus (koala)
Lineage: Eukaryota; Metazoa; Chordata; Mammalia; Diprotodontia; Phascolarctidae
Source: RefSeq, a predicted model, not a curated record